GUAAAUUUACUAUGAACAUGUAAUAUAUUUAGAUAUUAGGAAAGGUUAUGCCACAUGUAAUAAGUGGCAGGGGUGGCAGUAGAACUCAUAACUUCUAAUUCCAAUUCCAGUGUUUCUUCUGUUUGUUAAAAUAUUACAAUUGACUUACAUAAAUGAAGUUCAUUAUUAUCUGUUCCUAUGAACUAAACAUGUAGCAUAAUAUGAAUUUUCCAAUUAAUCAUCUUUAAUGUAUGUUCAUUUGUAUAGUUCAGUUAUUGUUAAUGUUUAUCAGUUUUAUCUCCAUAUCUAGAAUGAAAAAUCCCUGUGGUAUAAGGGCAACAUACCUACUCUCAUACCUUUACUCUUUUAUCCCUCGAAUAUCUAAGCAAAUUUUUUGCACCAACACUUGUUGACAGACUGUUUAUAAAUCAAUAUGAGCCAUAUAUUUGGGCUCAGGACAUACAACCCAAAAUAUGACUAGAGAAGAUGUGAAUAUGCCUCCUUAAAGUGUGGCAUACUGAUUAUUUUGAGCUGGUUAUGUUGAGAAACCACAGGCACAGGAGUAGCUCUGAAAAACUCCCCUUUUAUAAAGAAAUUUACAUCUAUAAAGAAAAUUUUCAUUAGUAGAGGUACCUAUACCAGAAAGAGAACAAGUCUCAGCCAACUUUUAUCAGCUGAGGGUCUUUUAUAUGCCUAACAAUGCAACCUUUAUUCACCAUACAUUUCUUCCCUUCACCUUCCCAUAAUUUAGUGCCACCCACUUAUUCAUUUCUGUAAGCCCUAAGCACCUAUUAUUUUCUAAAAAGCUCAGGAUCCUACAUAAGCUUCAAUCAUCUGGCCCUUCUUUGAAUCUCUUAUUUUGUAGGACUCCUGUGUGUAUGGAUGCAAUGAAAAUUGUUUUUUCCAGUUAAUCUGUUUUAUGUCAAUUUAGUUUGUAGCCCAGCCAAAGGAGCUAGGAGGAUAGAGGGGGAAAAUAUUUGUUUCUCCCCUACACAUGUAAACUCUUUAGCUCCUGCUUUCUUUACUCUGAUGAGACAAGUUAAAAAAAAUGUUUUCUGUUAUUGCAAAACAAAACCUGUGUGUCACAAGAUCAGGCCUCAGAAUAUCAAAAGAAAAAAAAAUUCAUGAACAGGACUUAAACAGUUCACAUACAUUGAAGUCAUCACUGACUUCUAUCACAGUAGCAACUUCAGUCUGUUCUGGCUGUUUUGUUUGUUGUAAAAUUUUGUAUAUGUAUGCAUUCAUGAGUGCGCAUGAGACAGACGGCAUAUUAAGCAUGCACAAGUGACUCUAUACACUUCAAAAGUUAAUUUUUUUUUUGUCAAAGGAGAUGCAUCUUUCUUGGUCUAAAGAUAAAGUGAC
RNAcentral lists this long non-coding RNA (1341 nucleotides) under Homo sapiens (human). RNAcentral's name for it is "HSALNT0071806". The record is from RNAcentral. Lineage: Eukaryota; Metazoa; Chordata; Mammalia; Primates; Hominidae.